RNAcentral lists this non-coding RNA (125 nucleotides) under Octodon degus (degu). The record is from RNAcentral. Lineage: Eukaryota; Metazoa; Chordata; Mammalia; Rodentia; Octodontidae.
GAAUUGUAUGAAAGGAGAGAAGGUUAGCACUCCCCUUGACAAGGAUGGAAGAGGCCUCGGGCCUGACAACACGCAUAUGGUUGAGGCAUUGCCACCUACUUCGAGGCAUCUAAUCACUGUUUUUA